CAACAAUGAAUUUAAAUUAGUGUUAAUAUAAUAUCACCAUUUAAGAUGACACAAUUACCAGAUUUAAGGAGAGACCCAAAAGAAACAGCAGAUCUAUGCAAAUGUCGUCCAAUAUGCAAGAGUCGUCGUCGCGAAUGGCGAGGCAAGGUCCAGAACACGUCUGCAGAGCUGCUGCUUGAGCGGAAACCUUUGCCAGAGUGCUUCAGGCGAUGCCCCACGAAAGUGUUCCCGAACAGCCCGUGCCCGCU
Molecule: long non-coding RNA, 248 nt
Organism: Ostrinia nubilalis (European corn borer)
Lineage: Eukaryota; Metazoa; Arthropoda; Insecta; Lepidoptera; Crambidae
Exons: 3
Source: RefSeq, a predicted model, not a curated record